This 88-nucleotide transfer RNA is filed under the name Candidatus Undinarchaeales archaeon. RNAcentral describes it as "tRNA-Leu". It matches the Rfam family "tRNA". Rfam says of the family: Transfer RNA (tRNA) molecules are approximately 80 nucleotides in length. The record is from RNAcentral. Lineage: Archaea; Nanobdellati; Candidatus Undinarchaeota; Candidatus Undinarchaeia; Candidatus Undinarchaeales.
GCGGGGGUGACAGAGCUGGCCAAAUGUGAUGGAUUCAGGGUCCAUUGGUUUAGUACCUGCGCGGGUUCGAAUCCCGUCUCCCGCACCA